UACGUAGGGGGCAAGCGUUGUCCGGAUUUAUUGGGCGUAAAGAGCGUGUAGGCGGCCAGACAGGUCCGUUGUGAAAACUAGAGGCUUAACCGGGAAAGGUCGUCGGAUACUGCAGAACUAGAGGACGGUAGAGGCGUGUGGAAUUCCGGGUGUAGUGGUGAAAUGCGUAGAGAUCCGGAGGAACACCAGUGGCGAAGGCGACACGCUGGGCCGUACCUGACACUGAUGCGCGACAGCAUGGGGAGCAAACAGG
This 253-nucleotide ribosomal RNA is filed under the name uncultured bacterium. RNAcentral describes it as "partial 16S ribosomal RNA". It matches the Rfam family "Bacterial small subunit ribosomal RNA", at positions 524 to 776 of the family's 1533-position model. The record is from RNAcentral.